GUUAAAAAACAUUAAACAUUGAAAUCAAGUCUAAAUUUUGAAUCCACCACUGCUAGAUGUUCUACCUUGCGUAGGUUGGAGCUUGCUCAGACUAGGACCAACCGAUCGGUCAAUUGUGUUUAAAAGACAAUUGAUAAUAAAGAUGAAAAGGUACAGAGCUGUACAUGCAUGAGUUGAUGAAUGAAUGCAUGUAUAUAUCUGAGCUUCUUUUACCUAACCAACUUUAACUUUUAAUUCCUAAAAACUCGACAUGUUAAAUCUUCUAAUGAAACUAUGCUCCUUGUUUUUACAUUAUUUUCUCCUCAAUAAAUCCAGAUCCACACUUCUAAUCUGCUGCUACCUGGAGACUCUCUUCUCAAGGACCUCGUUUCCUGAAGAAUAGGCAUCCCUUGCGUUGAUCUUUGAUCAUCCCACCGCCCUUUGAUGUGUCAAUUGUUUCCAACAAGGUUACCACUUCGUCCAUUUCUGGUCGUUUGUCAGGGCUAGCAUCCCAACACCGCUUCAUUACAUUUCCCAAAGAACUAGGGCAGCAACGAGGUAUCUCUGGCCUCAAAUUCUG
RNAcentral lists this unclassified non-coding RNA (559 nucleotides) under Hevea brasiliensis (rubber tree). The record is from RNAcentral. Lineage: Eukaryota; Viridiplantae; Streptophyta; Magnoliopsida; Malpighiales; Euphorbiaceae.